UAUUAAUGCAUUGUUAAAUAAAUCUUGAGUAGUAACAGUGACCUCGAAACUUAAAGAAUUUGGCGGCAUUCUUACCUGUUAGAGGAGCCUGUCCCGUAAUCGACGAUCCACGUUUGAGUGAACCUUAGUUAAAAGCUUGUAUACCGCCGUAUAGAAUAAAUUUAAAAGUUUAUUCUUAAUUAAAUUCUUAAAUAUUUCAGGUCAAGGUGCAGCCUAUGUUAAGGGGGAGGUGGGCUACAUUAUUAUAUUUCAGAUAUAAAAAUUUAAAUUUUAUUGACGAAGGAUUUGUGUGUAAAUUUAAUCUUAAUUGAAUUGAUAAGGUUCCAGAGUGUG
This 333-nucleotide ribosomal RNA is filed under the name Delouardus djabala. RNAcentral's name for it is "partial 12S ribosomal RNA". The record is from RNAcentral. Lineage: Eukaryota; Metazoa; Arthropoda; Insecta; Ephemeroptera; Baetidae.